CGAGUGGCGGACGGGUGAGUAAUGUCUGGGAAACUGCCCGAUGGAGGGGGAUAACUACUGGAAACGGUAGCUAAUACCGCAUAACGUCGCAAGACCAAAGAGGGGGACCUUCGGGCCUCUUACCAUCGGAUGUGCCCAGAUGGGAUUAGCUAGUAGGUGGGGUAAAGGCUCACCUAGGCGACGAUCCCUAGCUGGUCUGAGAGGAUGACCAGCCACACUGGAACUGAGACACGGUCCAG
This 239-nucleotide ribosomal RNA is filed under the name uncultured bacterium. Its description in RNAcentral is "partial 16S ribosomal RNA". It matches the Rfam family "Bacterial small subunit ribosomal RNA", at positions 92 to 334 of the family's 1533-position model. The record is from RNAcentral.